CAAGACGUAGCUAAAGUAUAAAGCACUCAGCUUACACCCGAGGGAUAUCUGUUAUUCGUCAGAUCGUCUUGA
This 72-nucleotide transfer RNA is filed under the name Chunga burmeisteri (Black-legged seriema). RNAcentral describes it as "tRNA-Val". It matches the Rfam family "tRNA". Rfam says of the family: Transfer RNA (tRNA) molecules are approximately 80 nucleotides in length. Their secondary structure includes four short double-helical elements and three loops (D, anti-codon, and T loops). Further hydrogen bonds mediate the characteristic L-shaped molecular structure. tRNAs have two regions of fundamental functional importance: the anti-codon, which is responsible for specific mRNA codon recognition, and the 3' end, to which the tRNAs corresponding amino acid is attached (by aminoacyl-tRNA synthetases). tRNAs cope with the degeneracy of the genetic code in two manners: having more than one tRNA (with a specific anti-codon) for a particular amino acid; and 'wobble' base-pairing, i.e. permitting non-standard base-pairing at the 3rd anti-codon position. The record is from RNAcentral. Lineage: Eukaryota; Metazoa; Chordata; Aves; Cariamiformes; Cariamidae.